Molecule: transfer RNA, 89 nt
Filed under: Alphaproteobacteria bacterium RIFOXYD12_FULL_60_8
Lineage: Bacteria; Pseudomonadati; Pseudomonadota; Alphaproteobacteria
Description: tRNA-Ser
Rfam family: tRNA
About the family: Transfer RNA (tRNA) molecules are approximately 80 nucleotides in length. Their secondary structure includes four short double-helical elements and three loops (D, anti-codon, and T loops).
Source: RNAcentral
GGAGGGAUGGCAGAGUGGUAAUGCAGCGGAUUGCUAAUCCGUGACCGUGUUAAAGCGGUCCCGGGGUUCGAGUCCCCGUCCCUCCGCCA